AUUGAACGCUGGCGGCAUGCUUUACACAUGCAAGUCGAACGGCAGCGCGGGCUUCGGCCUGGCGGCGAGUGGCGAACGGGUGAGUAAUGCAUCGGAACGUGCCCAGUAGUGGGGGAUAGCCCGGCGAAAGCCGGAUUAAUACCGCAUACGUCCUGAGGGUGAAAGCGGGGGACCGAAAGGCCUCGCGCUAUUGGAGCGGCCGAUGUCGGAUUAGCUAGUUGGUGGGGUAAAGGCUUACCAAGGCGACGAUCCGUAGCUGGUCUGAGAGGACGACCAGCCACACUGGGACUGAGACACGGCCCAGACUCCUACGGGAGGCAGCAGUGGGGAAUUUUGGACAAUGGGGGCAACCCUGAUCCAGCCAUGCCGCGUGCGGGAAGAAGGCCUUCGGGUUGUAAACCGCUUUUGUUCGGGAAGAAAUCCUCUGGGCUAAUACCCCGGGGGGAUGACGGUACCGGAAGAAUAAGCACCGGCUAACUACGUG
This 484-nucleotide ribosomal RNA is filed under the name uncultured bacterium. RNAcentral describes it as "partial 16S ribosomal RNA". It matches the Rfam family "Bacterial small subunit ribosomal RNA", at positions 28 to 507 of the family's 1533-position model. The record is from RNAcentral.